AAAAGAAGAUCAAGAAGAACUUCAGAAUGAAGCUUUCUUGAUGGAGGGGAGCGGCAGACGGGUGAGUAACGCGUGGGAACGUACCCUUUACUACGGAACAACUCCGGGAAACUGGAGCUAAUACCGUAGUCGCCCUUUGGGGGAAAGAUUUAUCGGUAAAGGAUGGGCCCGCGUUGGAUUAGCUAGUUGGUGGGGUAAAGGCCUACCAAGGCGACGAUCCAUAGCUGGUCUGAGAGGAUGAUCAGCCACAUUGGGACUGAGACACGGCCCAAACUCCUACGGGAGGCAGCAGUGGGGAAUAUUGGACAAUGGGCGCAAGCCUGAUCCAGCCAUGCCGCGUGAGUGAUGAAGGCCCUAGGGUUGUAAAGCUCUUUCACCGGGGAAGAUAAUGACGGUACCCGGAGAAGAAGCCCCGGCUAACUUCGUGCCAGCCGCCGCCGUAA
This 443-nucleotide ribosomal RNA is filed under the name uncultured bacterium. Its description in RNAcentral is "partial 16S ribosomal RNA". It matches the Rfam family "Bacterial small subunit ribosomal RNA", at positions 48 to 523 of the family's 1533-position model. The record is from RNAcentral.